GGCUCCACAGUGUAAUGGUUAGCAUGUCUGCUUUACAUGCAGAAGGUUCUGGGUUUGCACCCCAGGUGGAUCCA
This 74-nucleotide transfer RNA is filed under the name Pteropus alecto (black flying fox). It matches the Rfam family "tRNA". From Rfam's summary of the family: Transfer RNA (tRNA) molecules are approximately 80 nucleotides in length. Their secondary structure includes four short double-helical elements and three loops (D, anti-codon, and T loops). Lineage: Eukaryota; Metazoa; Chordata; Mammalia; Chiroptera; Pteropodidae. The record is from Rfam by way of RNAcentral.